Molecule: ribosomal RNA, 253 nt
Filed under: uncultured bacterium
Lineage: Bacteria
Description: partial 16S ribosomal RNA
Rfam family: Bacterial small subunit ribosomal RNA
Source: RNAcentral
UACAGAGGGGGCAAGCGUUGUUCGGAAUUACUGGGCGUAAAGGGCGCGUAGGCGGCCCGCUAAGUCGAACGUGAAAUCCCCGAGCUCAACUCGGGAACUGCGUCCGAUACUGGUGGGCUUGAAUCCGGGAGAGGGAUGCGGAAUUCCAGGUGUAGCGGUGAAAUGCGUAGAUAUCUGGAGGAACACCGGUGGCGAAGGCGGCAUCCUGGACCGGCAUUGACGCUGAGGCGCGAAAGCUAGGGGAGCGAACGGG